AGAGUUUGAUCCUGGCUCAGGAUGAACGCUAGCUACAGGCUUAACACAUGCAAGUCGAGGGGCAGCAUGGUCUUAGCUUGCUAAGGCCGAUGGCGACCGGCGCACGGGUGAGUAACACGUAUCCAACCUGCCGUCUACUCUUGGACAGCCUUCUGAAAGGAAGAUUAAUACAAGAUGGCAUCAUGAGUCCGCAUGUUCACAUGAUUAAAGGUAUUCCGGUAGACGAUGGGGAUGCGUUCCAUUAGAUAGUAGGCGGGGUAACGGCCCACCUAGUCUUCGAUGGGUAGGGGUUCUGAGAGGAAGGUCCCCCACAUUGGAACUGAGACACGGUCCAAACUCCUACGGGAGGCAGCAGUGAGGAAUAUUGGUCAAUGGGCGAGAGCCUGAACCAGCCAAGUAGCGUGAAGGAUGACUGCCCUAUGGGUUGUAAACUUCUUUUAUAAAGGAAUAAAGUCGGGUAUGGAUACCCGUUUGCAUGUACUUUAUGAAUAAGGAUCGGCUAACUCCGUGCCAGCAGCCGCGGUAAUACGGAGGAUCCGAGCGUUAUCCGGAUUUAUUGGGUUUAAAGGGAGCGUAGAUGGAUGUUUAAGUCAGUUGUGAAAGUUUGCGGCUCAACCGUAAAAUUGCAGUUGAUACUGGAUAUCUUGAGUGCAGUUGAGGCAGGCGGAAUUCGUGGUGUAGCGGUGAAAUGCUUAGAUAUCACGAAGAACUCCGAUUGCGAAGGCAGCCUGCUAAGCUGCAACUGACAUUGAGGCUCGAAAGUGUGGGUAUCAAACAGGAUUAGAUACCCUGGUAGUCCACACGGUAAACGAUGAAUACUCGCUGUUUGCGAUAUACAGCAAGCGGCCAAGCGAAAGCGUUAAGUAUUCCACCUGGGGAGUACGCCGGCAACGGUGAAACUCAAAGGAAUUGACGGGGGCCCGCACAAGCGGAGGAACAUGUGGUUUAAUUCGAUGAUACGCGAGGAACCUUACCCGGGCUUAAAUUGCAGAUGAAUUACGGUGAAAGCCGUAAGCCGCAAGGCAUCUGUGAAGGUGCUGCAUGGUUGUCGUCAGCUCGUGCCGUGAGGUGUCGGCUUAAGUGCCAUAACGAGCGCAACCCUUGUUGUCAGUUACUAACAGGUUCCGCUGAGGACUCUGACAAGACUGCCAUCGUAAGAUGUGAGGAAGGUGGGGAUGACGUCAAAUCAGCACGGCCCUUACGUCCGGGGCUACACACGUGUUACAAUGGGGGGUACAGAGGGCCGCUACCACGCGAGUGGAUGCCAAUCCCAAAAACCUCUCUCAGUUCGGACUGGAGUCUGCAACCCGACUCCACGAAGCUGGAUUCGCUAGUAAUCGCGCAUCAGCCACGGCGCGGUGAAUACGUUCCCGGGCCUUGUACACACCGCCCGU
This 1394-nucleotide ribosomal RNA is filed under the name uncultured bacterium. RNAcentral's name for it is "bacterial SSU rRNA". It matches the Rfam family "Bacterial small subunit ribosomal RNA". The record is from RNAcentral.